AGCCUUAGCACUGCUUUUGGAGAGUCAACUUUUACCACAGGAAAAAGCAGGAAGCCCGUUAAUUAAAAAUAACAAACAGCUAAAGGACACAUUUCCCCUGUGUUUUGGCUCAGCUUGUAAGGAUGAGAGAAGCUCGACGAAGCACUUGUGUUGAAGCACGGCAGACGUGGUGCUGUCCCAGAGCAAGGUGCAGAUAGUGGGGUGCGCUGACACCCCACUGAUGGUGCCACCCUCGAUGCUGGUGGUGAUUUCAGUAGGGAAAUUGGAUCAACAUUUUGUAACUUCUUCAUCCAUCUAACUGGUUCCUGCUGCUGAAGUACCUGAGCAGCUGCCUGGCUCGGGUUAUUAGGACCACAUCACACCAUAGGAAAAUCCAAACCAAAACUAGAGAGCCAAAGCAGGACUGAGGAGCAGGUUUUCAGGUUAUUCAGGCAGCUAGGGGAGCACUCCAUACCAUCCCUUGCUCCUGCUAGCAGGUGCUUUUGGAAAUUUGCCAUCUGCCAAGCAAAAUGUGUUGUUUGGCAUUCAGCAGGAAAACUGGGAGAGACGCCGUGAUUGACCUAACCCUUCACAGCAGAAAUGCCCUUGUCGGAGAACAGUGACUGUACACAGCAAUGAAUGACAUGGUGGCAGUCAUGAGUGGCUUCAUUAAGAAAACAUAUGCAAAUACUUUGGGAGGUAUUACACCGUCUGAUUAAUUUAAUGGGUGGAAAGAUGUAGAUACAAGAAGCUGUUUAUUUUUCCAUUAUAAAACACUCUUCCUUCACCAAAGAACAAAAAGGAAGAAGAGCAGAUCUAAUAGCCAGCUGUGGAGAAAAGCAGAUUGUUAAACGUAAGACAACCUGUACAAUGCGGGUAGUGUGACUGACGACUUUUUAUUACUGUGUGUAUGACUGCGACAAAGCAGAGACUAUUUUUUUGCUUUUAUGAGCUAAUAUGACUCAAGAUUAAGCUUUAUUGUGAAUUUUGAAUGUGGGCCCAGUCCUGUCAGGUGCUGAGCACCCAAUCCAGAAAGCAUCUGUUGGGAGUUAAGGAAGGCCAGUGGAACUGUGCACAUUAAAAUAAAUUAAUUAAUUAAUUUAAAAAAAUUCCAAACUGAGUGAUCGUGUUAGCCCUUCGUUGUAUCGGGUAAUAUCUGCCCUUCUGCAUAACUAUAAAGGACUCUUUGUUGUUUUUUUUUUUAAUAUAUAUUACCUCAUCUCAGUUUCUGCAACCUGUGCUUACAUAGAUUCUGUUUCUGCAAAUGUAUUCUUCAGUACUGGAAGUGUGAACAUGAAUGCAAGAGUCUGAAGCACUUUCCUGAGCUGUGCUCAUCCACAGACUCACCAAUUCAUUUGUGUGGGGUUUACAAUAAUGUUUUGUUAUUGUUUUAUGUCAA
Molecule: long non-coding RNA, 1378 nt
Organism: Columba livia (rock pigeon)
Lineage: Eukaryota; Metazoa; Chordata; Aves; Columbiformes; Columbidae
Exons: 3
Source: RefSeq, a predicted model, not a curated record